AUACGGAGGGGGCUAGCGUUGUUCGGAAUUACUGGGCGUAAAGCGCGCGUAGGCGGACCUGUAAGUCGGGGGUGAAAGCCCGAGGCUCAACCUCGGAACUGCCUUCGAUACUACAGGUCUUGAGUCCGAGAGAGGUGAGUGGAAUUCCUAGUGUAGAGGUGAAAUUCGUAGAUAUUAGGAAGAACACCAGUGGCGAAGGCGGCUCACUGGCCCGGUACUGACGCUGAGGCGCGAAAGCGUGGGGAGCAAACAGGAUUAGAAACCCGGGUAGUCC
RNAcentral lists this ribosomal RNA (274 nucleotides) under uncultured bacterium. RNAcentral's name for it is "partial 16S ribosomal RNA". It matches the Rfam family "Bacterial small subunit ribosomal RNA", at positions 523 to 796 of the family's 1533-position model. The record is from RNAcentral.